AAGGAACACUAUGUGGCAGAUGAUCAAAACAGUCUGACACAGCUUGAGCUUGCUAUAGCAACAAAGUCUAACCCAUUCUGGUGUUCUCUCCUCUAUCAGACAAGCCAUUAUAUAGACUUAGACAGU
Molecule: small nucleolar RNA, 126 nt
Organism: Molossus molossus (Pallas's mastiff bat)
Lineage: Eukaryota; Metazoa; Chordata; Mammalia; Chiroptera; Molossidae
Product: small nucleolar RNA SNORA28
Exons: 1
Source: RefSeq, a predicted model, not a curated record